This is an RNA transcript of Gasterosteus aculeatus aculeatus (three-spined stickleback), 1566 nucleotides long. It is a transcript of the gene named peroxisomal biogenesis factor 10, with no coding region annotated. The record is from RefSeq and is a predicted model, not a curated record. NCBI's taxonomy places the organism in Eukaryota, Metazoa, Chordata, Actinopteri, Perciformes, Gasterosteidae.
ACUUCUUGUUUCCUGGAUGAACAGAACGCGUUGACGACCCUCGCCAGGGAGCGAUAGUCCGGACGUGAGAGCUCUGCUCGCGGCUCGCUCUCUGCCGUGUGAUGGUUUCUAACAACCACCGUAGCGUUAGUUAGUUAGUUAGUUAGUUGACGAUGUCGCUAGCUGCUGCUAACCAGUCCCAGUUGAUUCGGUCCAGUCAGAAGGACGAAUUCUACCGAACCUUCCUGAGAAACAGCACCAACGACGCCGUUCAGACCGUCGCUGGAUCCAGGAGAUGGCUGGACUGGAGGAGAGAGGUGGAGCUGCUGUCAGACCUGGCGUACUACGGCCUCACCACCUUCUCAGGUUACCAGACCCUGGGCGAGGAGUACGUCAACAUCGUCCAGGUGGACCCCACUGAGCGCCGCGUCCCGUCCCGGGCCAGGCGAGGCCUCUUUGUUCUCCUCCACGCCUACUUCCCUUACCUGGUGGACAAGGUCCUGGUGUGCCUGGAGAACCAGCUGGAAUCCGGGCAGGAGAGGCGGCGGCGGCGCGCGGCGCCGGAGCGCUGGUGGAGCCUGGAGUCGUGGCUCCGGAGGGGGACGCAGAGGGCGGUGGGGCAGCUGUCGGAGCCCCAGAGGGGAGCGUGCGCGGCGGCCGUGUCCGUCCUCCACCAGGGCCUGACCCUCCUACGCCGACUCCACGCCGCCGUCUUCUACAUCAGCGGCUCCUUCUACCACCUGUCCAAGAGGGCGGCCGGCAUCCGCUACCUGCGUGUGGCGGCGCUCAGCAGGGACGACGGGACCAUCAGGAGCAGCUACAGGCUGCUGGGGACGCUGUCCCUCCUCCAGCUGCUCGCCACCGUGUGUCUGCAGUUCAACAGCUUCCGACAGAAGCAGCGAGCCAGACAGGAGUGGAAGCUCUACAGGAGCCUCAGUCCUCAGCGCGCACACACCUCGGGCCCCGCGGCUGCCAGCUGCAUCCUCUGCCUGGAGGACAGGAGACACUCCACCUGCACCCCCUGUGGACACCUCUUCUGCUGGGAGUGCAUCACGGAGUGGUGCAACACCAAGGCAGAGUGCCCCCUGUGUCGGGAGAAGCUCCAGCCUCACAGGCUGGUGUACCUGAGGAACCUGGGCUAGGACCACGUGGCCUCGGCGUUGCCUUCAGGUUCCUAGUGCUCCCCAUGAGGAAUAAAACCUUGGAUUGUAUCAGUCGAUAUUCAACGUCCACAGACAAGGAGCUGCUGUUGGACAUUGGGACAUGCGUCCCUAGGACAUGCGUCUUUCAGCCAACUAACCUUUAAGCGGCGCAAAUCAUCCCUGGCUGUAAAAACGAAGUGACGCAAAGCGCGGUGGCGUCCGGUCGGCCCGCGUGGACGCGUUCCAGGUGCAUCCUGCUACGUGGAGACUUUACAAAAGGACGGAGUGGAUUCUGGAUGCACGUCAUGGAAGCAGUGCCCUUCAGCCAGUUGAACAGUUCUAGUUCCUCUGUUCCUCCUCACUGAGAGCAAAACACUCGACUAGAUCUCCACUCUUUGCUGUCCUGCUCCUAAAUGGUGGAAGGAGGUCUCUGAAGACACCAGGA